This 1476-nucleotide ribosomal RNA is filed under the name Streptococcus thermophilus. RNAcentral's name for it is "bacterial SSU rRNA". It matches the Rfam family "Bacterial small subunit ribosomal RNA". Lineage: Bacteria; Bacillati; Bacillota; Bacilli; Lactobacillales; Streptococcaceae. The record is from RNAcentral.
CAUGGCUCAUGACGAACGCUGGCGGCGUGCCUAAUACAUGCAAGUAGAACGCUGAAGAGAGGAGCUUGCUCUUCUUGGAUGAGUUGCGAACGGGUGAGUAACGCGUAGGUAACCUGCCUUGUAGCGGGGGAUAACUAUUGGAAACGAUAGCUAAUACCGCAUAACAAUGGAUGACACAUGUCAUUUAUUUGAAAGGGGCAAUUGUUCCACUACAAGAUGGACCUGCGUUGUAUUAGCUAGUAGGUGAGGUAAUGGCUCACCUAGGCGACGAUACAUAGCCGACCUGAGAGGGUGAUCGGCCACACUGGGACUGAGACACGGCCCAGACUCCUACGGGAGGCAGCAGUAGGGAAUCUUCGGCAAUGGGGGCAACCCUGACCGAGCAACGCCGCGUGAGUGAAGAAGGUUUUCGGAUCGUAAAGCUCUGUUGUAAGUCAAGAACGGGUGUGAGAGUGGAAAGUUCACACUGUGACGGUAGCUUACCAGAAAGGGACGGCUAACUACGUGCCAGCAGCCGCGGUAAUACGUAGGUCCCGAGCGUUGUCCGGAUUUAUUGGGCGUAAAGCGAGCGCAGGCGGUUUGAUAAGUCUGAAGUUAAAGGCUGUGGCUCAACCAUAGUUCGCUUUGGAAACUGUCAAACUUGAGUGCAGAAGGGGAGAGUGGAAUUCCAUGUGUAGCGGUGAAAUGCGUAGAUAUAUGGAGGAACACCGGUGGCGAAAGCGGCUCUCUGGUCUGUAACUGACGCUGAGGCUCGAAAGCGUGGGGAGCGAACAGGAUUAGAUACCCUGGUAGUCCACGCCGUAAACGAUGAGUGCUAGGUGUUGGAUCCUUUCCGGGAUUCAGUGCCGCAGCUAACGCAUUAAGCACUCCGCCUGGGGAGUACGACCGCAAGGUUGAAACUCAAAGGAAUUGACGGGGGCCCGCACAAGCGGUGGAGCAUGUGGUUUAAUUCGAAGCAACGCGAAGAACCUUACCAGGUCUUGACAUCCCGAUGCUAUUUCUAGAGAUAGAAAGUUACUUCGGUACAUCGGUGACAGGUGGUGCAUGGUUGUCGUCAGCUCGUGUCGUGAGAUGUUGGGUUAAGUCCCGCAACGAGCGCAACCCCUAUUGUUAGUUGCCAUCAUUCAGUUGGGCACUCUAGCGAGACUGCCGGUAAUAAACCGGAGGAAGGUGGGGAUGACGUCAAAUCAUCAUGCCCCUUAUGACCUGGGCUACACACGUGCUACAAUGGUUGGUACAACGAGUUGCGAGUCGGUGACGGCGAGCUAAUCUCUUAAAGCCAAUCUCAGUUCGGAUUGUAGGCUGCAACUCGCCUACAUGAAGUCGGAAUCGCUAGUAAUCGCGGAUCAGCACGCCGCGGUGAAUACGUUCCCGGGCCUUGUACACACCGCCCGUCACACCACGAGAGUUUGUAACACCCGAAGUCGGUGAGGUAACCUUUUGGAGCCAGCCGCCUAAGUGGGACAGAUGAUUGGG